CUGACAGUUUUGGAAUAUAAAGUCCUCUAUUCAUCAACAGAGCAGGCAGAGGAAGUGGCUGCUUCUCUUGGCUUGCCAAUUUCUGCUCCUCUAUGACCUAGAGGUAUCACCUCAAGCUUGGAGUUCAUUAUCCAUGUCUUUCUAAUCUUUGGGCUCU
Molecule: small RNA, 157 nt
Filed under: Nothoprocta perdicaria
Lineage: Eukaryota; Metazoa; Chordata; Aves; Tinamiformes; Tinamidae
Description: TUC338 (ENSNPEG00000011283.1)
Source: RNAcentral